GAUUGAGACUUGACGCCGUUAAACUGUAUAACGGUUUUCCUACCUCAUGAUCUCCUGUUUGUAGGAGUCUGGUCUAGUUUUUUCCUGCAAGAAACGGUUCUCCGUUUUAGCAAGCGCUGCAUCCACUUCUCUGGCGAGAAAGUUCUGUUUCUCGCCGGAAACUUCAUAGAUUCCGACAGAAAUUUUCACCUCCAUGGUGGGGGAGAGACUAAUGAAGGUAUAAGAAAAGGGGAAAAAAUGGAGAAGUGAGAAAGGAGGUGGUGGUUAACGUGCAAUGCAGGGAAA
RNAcentral lists this unclassified non-coding RNA (285 nucleotides) under Hevea brasiliensis (rubber tree). Lineage: Eukaryota; Viridiplantae; Streptophyta; Magnoliopsida; Malpighiales; Euphorbiaceae. The record is from RNAcentral.